CGAAACCAGGUGAUCUACCCUUGGUCAGGUUGAAGUUCAGGUAACACUGAAUGGAGGACCGAACCGACUUACGUUGAAAAGUGAGCGGAUGAACUGAGGGUAGCGGAGAAAUUCCAAUCGAACCUGGAGAUAGCUGGUUCUCUCCGAAAUAGCUUUAGGGCUAGCCUCAAGUGAUGAUUAUUGGAGGUAGAGCACUGUUUGGACGAGGGGCCCCUCUCGGGUUACCGAAUUCAGACAAACUCCGAAUGCCAAUUAAUUUAACUUGGGAGUCAGAACAUGGGUGAUAAGGUCCGUGUUCGAAAGGGAAACAGCCCAGACCACCAGCUAAGGUCCCAAAAUAUAUGUUAAGUGGAAAAGGAUGUGGCGUUGCCCAGACAACUAGGAUGUUGGCUUAGAAGCAGCCAUCAUUUAAAGAGUGCGUAAUAGCUCACUAGUCGAGUGACACUGCGCCGAAAAUGUACCGGGGCUAAACAUAUUACCGAAGCUGUGGAUUGUCCUUUGGACAAUGGUAGGAGAGCGUUCUAAGGGCGUUGAAGCAUGAUCGUAAGGACAUGUGGAGCGCUUAGAAGUGAGAAUGCCGGUGUGAGUAGCGAAAGACGGGUGAGAAUCCCGUCCACCGAUUGACUAAGGU
Molecule: ribosomal RNA, 631 nt
Filed under: Staphylococcus aureus
Lineage: Bacteria; Bacillati; Bacillota; Bacilli; Caryophanales; Staphylococcaceae
Description: partial 23S ribosomal RNA
Rfam family: Bacterial large subunit ribosomal RNA
Source: RNAcentral